GCACACAUGGUGAAAUUGGUAUACACGCCAUCUUGAGGGGGUGGUGCCUUCGGGUGUGGGGGUUCGACUCCCCCUGUGUGCAC
RNAcentral lists this transfer RNA (83 nucleotides) under Cardinium endosymbiont of Culicoides punctatus. Its description in RNAcentral is "tRNA-Leu". It matches the Rfam family "tRNA". From Rfam's summary of the family: Transfer RNA (tRNA) molecules are approximately 80 nucleotides in length. Their secondary structure includes four short double-helical elements and three loops (D, anti-codon, and T loops). Lineage: Bacteria; Pseudomonadati; Bacteroidota; Cytophagia; Cytophagales; Amoebophilaceae. The record is from RNAcentral.